GAUGAACGCUGGCGGCGUGCCUAAUACAUGCAAGUCGAACGCUGGAGAUCUAGCUUGCUAGAUCGAAGGAGUGGCGAACGGGUGAGUAAUACAUAAGCAACCUACCCACGAAGACUGGGAUAAUCUCUGGAAACGGGGACUAAUACCGGAUAGGUAAUCGGAAGGCAUCUUCUGGUUAUUAAAGGUUAAAAACACUGGUGGAUGGGCUUAUGGCGCAUUAGUUAGUUGGUGAGGUAACGGCCCACCAAGACGAUGAUGCGUAGCCGGCCUGAGAGGGUGAACGGCCACAUUGGGACUGAGACACGGCCCAGACUCCUACGGGAGGCAGCAGUAGGGAAUUUUCGGCAAUGGGGGCAACCCUGACCGAGCAACGCCGCGUGAGUGAAGACGGCCUUCGGGUUGUAAAGCUCUGUUGUAAGGGAAGAACGGUAGAUAGAGAAUAUCUAAGUGACGGUACCUUACCAGAAAGCCACGGCUAACUACGUG
Molecule: ribosomal RNA, 486 nt
Filed under: uncultured bacterium
Lineage: Bacteria
Description: partial 16S ribosomal RNA
Rfam family: Bacterial small subunit ribosomal RNA
Source: RNAcentral